AGCGCACGAGCCAGCCAGUGACUAGUACACAGUCCCUCUUUCAGGAGCAACAAUCUGCCUACAUGGAGUACACACGCCAGGAGACCAUGGCGUGGCAUCAGAGGCUUUAUGAACACCAAGUGCAGAGGGAUAGCCAGAUGCAGCAGGCUUUUCAGGAUAUGGCGGCCGACAGGUGUCCUCACUUCCCUACAGCACAAUGCCCUCUAGCACAACCAGUGCUGAUGAGCUUUGAGGAGUUUGUGGCACAGAACGCUGGCCCCUCGCCGGGAACAGGUGGAUCUACCGUUGGCGGUGGUCUUCGCAGCACUCCGG
Long non-coding RNA from Triticum dicoccoides, 312 nucleotides. RefSeq lists it as uncharacterized. NCBI's taxonomy places the organism in Eukaryota, Viridiplantae, Streptophyta, Magnoliopsida, Poales, Poaceae. The record is from RefSeq and is a predicted model, not a curated record. The transcript is spliced from 3 exons.